UGAGUUGGUUAUUCAAUCUUGCG
This 23-nucleotide microRNA is filed under the name Ciona intestinalis (vase tunicate). RNAcentral describes it as "cin-miR-4003b-5p". Lineage: Eukaryota; Metazoa; Chordata; Ascidiacea; Phlebobranchia; Cionidae. The record is from miRBase by way of RNAcentral.